RNA transcript from Triticum aestivum (bread wheat), 3221 nucleotides. RefSeq lists it as uncharacterized. The record is from RefSeq and is a predicted model, not a curated record. The transcript is spliced from 5 exons. NCBI's taxonomy places the organism in Eukaryota, Viridiplantae, Streptophyta, Magnoliopsida, Poales, Poaceae.
UCCCCCCUAGAUUAAGCUAGGGUUGGGUAGGUUCCCUUGAAUCAAUCAAAAAAACAAAUCCAUGGCCCAACACACCCGAGGAGAAAUGUCCCCGGGAAUCUAGAUCCUCCUCCGUCCCCUCCGCCGUCUCUCCUCUCCGUCCCCUCCGCCGGACUUGGAAGCUUCUUGUAUGGUCACUUGCUCGACGCUGAUUGGUGGAAGAUAUUGCGGGGCUCAGAGGGCUUUAAAACUGGUCACGUGCUCGACGCUGAUUGGUGGAAGAGAGGGCGUGGCCGUGAGGUCUGAUAUUUCUCCAAGUACACUGCGAACGCGUGCCUGCUGUUUGUACAUUCUUGACCUGCGACGGAAUGGAGUGCAACAAGGAUGAGGCCCUUAGGGCGAAGCAAAUUGCAGAGAGGAAGUUUGAAUCCAAGGACCUGCAGGGUGCCAAGAAAUUCGCACUCAAGGCCAAGUCUCUCUUUCCGGAUCUUGAGGGCAUUAUGCAGCUGAUCAUCACCUUUGAUGUUUACCUUACCUCAGAACUGAAGGUUGCUGGUGAGAAUGACUAUUACUCUAUCCUCUCUGUCGACACGUCAGCAGAUGAUGAAACAGUGAAGAAGCAGUACAGGAAGUUGGCACUUCUACUCCAUCCUGACAAGAACAAAUCAGUGGGCGCUGAGGGUGCUUUCCAGUUGGUUAAAGAGGCAUGGACUGUGUUAUCUGAUAAAACCAAGAGACUGUUGUAUGAUCAAAAAAGGAAAGUAGUUGUACUACAACAGAAGACAGCCCAAUCAAAUAGGACAAGUGCAACUCAAGGUGCAACCAAUGGCUUCGAGAGUUUCGCAGCCAAAUCACCUGCUUUCAAGCCAAGAGCAAACAAGCCAAAGACAGGGUCAACAACAUCUGCAGCGCGCCAGCGCCCACCCCCACCCCCACAGCGCCCGCCUCCUCAUCAUCAGGCUCCUGCUCCUGCUCCACCUCCAGCAAUGAAGGACACAUUUUGGACCUCAUGCAACAAAUGCAAGAUGAAUUUUGAAUAUCUCAGAGUGUAUAUAAAUCAUACUCUUCUCUGCCCUAGCUGCCGCGACCCAUUCCUUGCAAAAGAGGUACCGGUGCCACCAACUGAGGAUGUUCAUGCAGGAAGGGGCUCAAACAUCAGUGGUGCACCUCAAGAUGCAAGCACUAGGAGAAAUUUUCAGUGGGGUCCAUUCUCAAGGGCAGCUGGUGCAGCCAGUGCUACUGCAUCAUCAUCUGCUGCUGCUCAAGCUGCUAAUGUGGUUCAUCAGACAUAUGAGAAAGUUAAGAGAGAGAGGGAGGAGGCACAAGCAGUAGCAAGAAGGGAAGAAGCUUUUCAGAGGAAGCACAAUCCUCUAAAAAGGCAAGCAGAUGUGUCAAUGAACCAUGGAAUGGGCGAUACUGCAUUUGGAAAGAAGAUGAGAACUGAUGCUGGAGUUGGUUCAUCCAUUCCCUCAGGUCCAUGGGCCCAAUUUGCUAGAAUGCCAGUUGGAACUAUACCAUUUUCAACCAACAGUGCCUUUGAGUUUCAGAUUGUUAAUGGUGUGCCCACUUGGAAGCCCAGGCCUGUUACUCGGCUCAGCGUAACUAAGAUUUUCUCUAAGUCAGAUCUUAAGAGAAUUUUGGUUGACAAGGUGAAGAGCGAUUUGAAGGAGAAGCUAAGUGAGAUACGAAGUAGGUCAAUCCAAGUUACUGUUGAUGGUCCAGCGAGCAAGAAAUAUGUUGAGGUUAGCAAAGCAACAGUUGAUUCUACUGCAAAGAAAGAUGUUUGUGUGGAUCCAGAGGAGAAUGGUUCUGCUAAUAGCAAUGGUUCUGAUGAUAGCACAGCUGCUGGAAAUGAAGAUGAGGACCCUAUGUCUUAUACUGUUCCUGAUCCUGAUUUCCAUGAUUUUGAUAAGGAUCGUACCGAGGAAUGUUUUCAGAGUGAUCAAAUUUGGGCUUCAUACGACGAUGAUGAUGGCAUGCCUCGUUUCUACACAUUUAUUCAGAAAGUUAUCUCCUUGAACCCGUUUAAGGUCAAAAUAAGUUACCUCGAGUCGAAGACGAAUAGUGAAUUUGGACCAUUGAGUUGGGUUUCUUCUGGCUUUGCAAAGACGUGUGGUGAUUUCAGGAUUGCCAAACAUGAAAUCUGUGAUGUGGUCAACAUGUUCUCUCACCAGAUUAAAUGGGAGAAAGGCCCACGUGGGAUGGUCAACGUUUACCCACGGGAAGGCGAUAUCUGGGCUUUGUACCGAAACUGGUCCCCUGAAUGGGAUGGAGAUACUCCAGAUAAUGUGCUGCAUGUCUAUGAUCUGGUUGAGGUACUGGAUGAUUAUGACGAAGAUCAUGGAAUCUCUGUAAUUCCCUUGGUUAAGGUCACUGGAUUUCGGACAGUUUUUCAGCGUCACCAGAACCGGAACGUCAUCAAGAGGAUUCCGAAAGAGGAGAUGUUUCGGUUUUCACAUCAGGUCCCCUUCUAUAGGUUGUCUGGGGAAGAAGCUCCAAACGUCCCCAAAGAUAGCUAUGAGGUAGACCCAGCUGCAAUUCCGAAGGAACUUCUUCAGGGGAUCACAGAAACAGCGGAGGAGGCAGAAGGAACUUCUAAAUCCAGUUGAAAUGGUUGAUGCUGCGACUCCGUUAUAUCUUUGUUGAUCUGCCCGCCGUUUUGCAUCAGAGAUUUGUUGGCACUAGCUAGUUUCUAUAGCGUUUCCUAGCUUCUAUACUUUUGACAGUUACCUUUGCAUACAAGGGCAGGUCUGGGAUUAGCCAUUCCUGUCUUGUAUGCCAUGUGUCUUGCCGUCUCAUCAAUGAAGCUCAUAAUCUUGCCUUUUUCUUCGCAGAGUUCAUUUCCAUUUGUCCUGGUGCUAACCGAACCCCGAGCGGCAGCAUUGUCUGGGCAUGUGAAGAAAGCUCUUUGCAGCGCAUCAUCCGUUUUGUCUUCAGCCCCUGCCUGUCUUGGUGGACCAGCGGCGGUGAAGGACACCGUGCUCGUCGGCGCCAUCUCCCGACGAUAUGGUCGAGGCAGCGGUAUCCCGACGGCAGGUUUUAUUUUUCUUCCCUCAAAAACCACGGGAGGAAUCCUCGUCAUUGUGCAUCGGAUCGCGCGUGUAUGUUUUUAAACAGGACCGUUGGAUCUUGUUUCGACGACGAAUCGAUGUUGGAUCUAUUCCGUCGUGUAAUGUAAAGCAUAUGAGAAUUUGUAUGUGCAAUCCUCAUGGUGCUGGAAUCUAUCUAUAGCAGCAAUCUAU